GGAGAUGUAGCUCAGAUGGUAUAGCGCUCGCUGCUUAGCAUGCGAGAGGUACUGGAAUUAAUACCCAGCAUCUCCA
Cordylochernes scorpioides is the source of this 76-nucleotide non-coding RNA. The record is from the annotation of a GenBank genome assembly. Lineage: Eukaryota; Metazoa; Arthropoda; Arachnida; Pseudoscorpiones; Chernetidae.